Molecule: ribosomal RNA, 709 nt
Filed under: uncultured Planctomycetota bacterium
Lineage: Bacteria; Pseudomonadati; Planctomycetota
Description: bacterial SSU rRNA
Rfam family: Bacterial small subunit ribosomal RNA
Source: RNAcentral
CAAGUCGAACGAAUCCCGGGGGGCAACUCCCGGGGGAAGUGGCGAAAGGGGCAGUAAGGCGUGGGUAACCUACCCCGGGGACGGGCAUAGCCCUCCUAACGGAGGGGUAAUUCCCGGCGAGGUGGCGAGGUCGCAUGGCCUUGCCAUGAAAUGAGUUUCGCCUCGGGAGGGGCUCACGUGGUAUUAGCUUGUUGGCGGGGUAACGGCCCACCAAGGCCGAGAUGCCUAGCGGGUGUGAGAGCACGACCCGCGCCACUGGCACUGAGACACUGGCCAGACUCCUACGGGAGGCUGCAGUCGAGGAUCUUCGGCAAUGGGCGCAAGCCUGACCGAGCGACGCCGCGUGUGCGAUGAAGGCCUUCGGGUUGUAAAGCACUGUCGAGGGGGAGGAAGCCCGCAAGGGUUGACCUAUCCCUGGAGGAAGCACGGGCUAAGUUCGUGCCAGCAGCCGCGGUAAGACGAACCGUGCGAACGUUGUUCGGAUUCACUGGGCUUAAAGGGCGCGUAGGCGGUCGGCCAAGUCUGGGGUGAAAUCUUUCGGCUCAACCGGAAAAGUGCCCCCGAUACUGGCCGGCUAGAGGGAGACAGGGGCAUGCGGAACUUCCGGUGGAGCGGUGAAAUGCGUAAAUAUCGGAAGGAACGCCGGUGGCGAAAGCGGCGUGCUGGAUCUCUUCUGACGCUGAGGCGCGAAAGCCAGGGGAGCAAACGG